UGGGUGUUCGACUUUAGAGUUGUUUUCCUGGAAGCGCUGAUACUGGACUUAGUGGAGGAGAACGACGGUAUCAAUGUGUUUCUGGAUGACUGCCUGGACAAGGGAGUUCAGCUUUUGGGAGACUGACUGGGCUAUGAAGUGUACCUUUCUACUCUGCAGAGGCUGGAAAGGCAAAAAUGAUGGCUAAGGCUUCCUUGCAGCCGCUGAUACAGAAGCCUGAGGGAACACACUCCCCCCUACGUCCUUCUCCAACACAGCAGAGCCAGGAAGGACCCGGAUGGAAGUUAGGACAAAGAGGCCCAGAAUUGGCACAGAUACCAACAGACCAUUCGUUGAAGAAGAAAUCCAAAUGGCCAUAAGGUCUUUAAGAUUCUGGAGGCCAAGAAUUUGACUCCCCCCGGAUCCAUGGUCUGUGGAUACCAAUGUUCCGACUGGAGACGGGGAGCCCGCGAGACCCGGGUCUCCAGGGUCUGCCCAAGGAAG
RNAcentral lists this long non-coding RNA (483 nucleotides) under Homo sapiens (human). Its description in RNAcentral is "non-protein coding lnc-PLA2G2F-4:4". Lineage: Eukaryota; Metazoa; Chordata; Mammalia; Primates; Hominidae. The record is from RNAcentral.